This 31-nucleotide non-coding RNA is filed under the name Mus musculus (house mouse). The record is from RNAcentral. Lineage: Eukaryota; Metazoa; Chordata; Mammalia; Rodentia; Muridae.
UNCCCUCUGAACUGAGACCUCAAGUGCCGGC